UUAAAACUUAGUAAAAUUUUAGCGGUGUUACAACGAUGAGAUGAUGACUCGGUAUAUAUAAAGAUAACAGAUCGCGUGAUAUCUCUAUUUCACGUAAGCUUAAGUUAUCCAAACUCCACACCACUUAAAACAUGGUUGCGUUGAUGAGAACCCAGUUUUGAUGGAUCACUCACGCACAUGUCAUGUACACACUUCUGGCGAGACAAGUAAGCACGUGUUCUACCUCUUCUCUACACC
Molecule: long non-coding RNA, 237 nt
Filed under: Oryza brachyantha (malo sina)
Lineage: Eukaryota; Viridiplantae; Streptophyta; Magnoliopsida; Poales; Poaceae
Description: long non-coding RNA (OBRA_LNC001121)
Source: RNAcentral